This is a long non-coding RNA of Saccostrea cuccullata (small rock oyster), 262 nucleotides long. RefSeq lists it as uncharacterized. The record is from RefSeq and is a predicted model, not a curated record. The transcript is spliced from 3 exons. NCBI's taxonomy places the organism in Eukaryota, Metazoa, Mollusca, Bivalvia, Ostreida, Ostreidae.
AUGUCACAGUACUACAGUAAAGAAAGAGAGGUUGACAAUGUUAAGUUUGCACAAGUGGGAGAUUUGGUGGCUGCACCAUUUGACCAGGAUACAUCAUGGUACAGGGCCAGAGUGUCAGGUUUCCAAGGAGAUGACCCUGAGCAGCUUGACCUUUUCUACCUUGACUAUGGAGACAGCUGUUAUCUGUCCAAGAGUAAAGUCCGUGUCUUACAACCAGACUUCUUAAGAAUUCCUUUCCAGGCUAUUGAGUGUGAGAUGGCAC